Molecule: ribosomal RNA, 440 nt
Filed under: uncultured bacterium
Lineage: Bacteria
Description: partial 16S ribosomal RNA
Rfam family: Bacterial small subunit ribosomal RNA
Source: RNAcentral
CCUACGGGAGGCAGCAGUGGGGGAUAUUGCACAAUGGGGGGAACCCUGAUGCAGCGACGCCGCGUGGGUGAAGAAGCGCCUCGGCGCGUAAAGCCCUGUCAGCAGGGAAGAAAAUGACGGUACCUGAAGCAGAAGCCCCGGCUAACUACGGGCCGGCAGCCGCGGUAAUACGUAGGGGGCAAGCGUUAUCCGGAUUUACUGGGUGUAAAGGGGGCGCAGUCGGCGAUGCAAGCCAGGAGUGAAAGCCCGGGGCCCAACCCCGGGACUGCUCUUGGAACUGCGUGGCUGGAGUGCAGGAGGGGCAGGCGGAAUUCCUGGUGUAGCGGUGAAAUGCGUAGAUAUCAGGAGGAACACCGGUGGCGAAGGCGGCCUGCUGGACUGCAACUGACGUUGAGGCCCGAAAGCGUGGGGAGCAAACAGGAUUAGAUACCCCUGUAGUC